RNAcentral lists this ribosomal RNA (231 nucleotides) under uncultured bacterium. Its description in RNAcentral is "partial 16S ribosomal RNA". It matches the Rfam family "Bacterial small subunit ribosomal RNA", at positions 99 to 334 of the family's 1533-position model. The record is from RNAcentral.
CGGACGGGUGAGUAAUGUCUGGGAAACUGCCUGAUGGAGGGGGAUAACUACUGGAAACGGUAGCUAAUACCGCAUAACGUCGCAAGACCAAAGAGGGGGACCUUCGGGCCUCUUGCCAUCGGAUGUGCCCAGAUGGGAUUAGCUAGUAGGUGGGGUAACGGCUCACCUAGGCGACGAUCCCUAGCUGGUCUGAGAGGAUGACCAGCCACACUGGACUGAGACACGGUCCAG